GCCGCUUUAGCUCAGUUGGUAGAGCGCAUCCAUGGUAAGGAUGAGGUCGACGGUUCGAGCCCGUCAAGUGGCU
RNAcentral lists this transfer RNA (73 nucleotides) under Candidatus Enterococcus testudinis. RNAcentral's name for it is "Enterococcus sp. 8G7_MSG3316 tRNA-Thr". It matches the Rfam family "tRNA". Rfam says of the family: Transfer RNA (tRNA) molecules are approximately 80 nucleotides in length. Their secondary structure includes four short double-helical elements and three loops (D, anti-codon, and T loops). RNAcentral also lists the same sequence under 1 other name. The record is from RNAcentral. Lineage: Bacteria; Bacillati; Bacillota; Bacilli; Lactobacillales; Enterococcaceae.